CCUACGGGUGGCAGCAGUGAGGAAUAUUGGUCAAUGGACGAGAGUCUGAACCAGCCAAGUAGCGUGAAGGAUGACUGCCCUAUGGGUUGUAAACUUCUUUUAUAUGGGAAUAAAAUGUUCCACGUGUGGGAUUUUGUAUGUACCAUAUGAAUAAGGAUCGGCUAACUCCGUGCCAGCAGCCGCGGUAAUACGGAGGAUCCGAGCGUUAUCCGGAUUUAUUGGGUUUAAAGGGAGCGUAGGUGGAUUGUUAAGUCAGUUGUGAAAGUGUGCGGCUCAACCGUAAAAUUGCAGUUGAAACUGGCAGUCUUGAUUACAGUAGAGGUGGGCGGAAUUCGUGGUGUAGCGGUGAAAUGUUUAGAUAUCACGAAGAACUCCGAUUGCGAAGGCAGUUCACUGGACUGCAACUGACACUGAGGCUCGAAAGUGUGGGUAUCAAACAGGAUUAGAUACCCUUGUAGUC
Molecule: ribosomal RNA, 460 nt
Filed under: uncultured bacterium
Lineage: Bacteria
Description: partial 16S ribosomal RNA
Rfam family: Bacterial small subunit ribosomal RNA
Source: RNAcentral